RNAcentral lists this small RNA (1244 nucleotides) under Pongo abelii (Sumatran orangutan). RNAcentral describes it as "retained intron". The record is from RNAcentral. Lineage: Eukaryota; Metazoa; Chordata; Mammalia; Primates; Hominidae.
GGGAUGCUUAUGUCUGUGCUUCAUUGGCGUCAUCUCACAAGGCCCUGAGCUGGCAGGAAAUUGAGGUCUCAAGGGGAAAAGCCACCUGCCCCCAGUGACAACCAGGAAGUGCAAGACUCUGACCCAACCCCCAUGCCUGCCAUCCCCAAACAUGGGCUCAAAACCCCUUCCCAGGGACGGCUGUGUCCACCCCUCAGCAGGAGGAGGAGACCCCACAGCACCGGGUGAGAGGUCAGUGCUGAAGCCAGGGAGGCAGCUCUCAGCUGCCUGUGUGGAGCCAGGGAAGCCAGGGCCACAUUUGCAGGGUGAAGUGGGGAACCCGGAAGGCUGGGAACGGGUGACCAAGGCUACACUGGGAUGAAGGGAGCCAUGGAGCUGCAGGAUCUGCGGGUGGCCCUCAGUGGCAGGCAGCCAGGCCAACAGGGGCUUUGGGCUGCAGGUCAGCCCCUCCCCUGCUCUGGAACUUUUGGAGGGCCAUUACAAAGGACAUCAGCCCCAAGAUACUCCUCUGAAAUUCUGCCUGAAAGGCCCUUCACAUUCCCUAAUUGGCACUUACAACAUUCCAGAACAUUCUAUGGUACCUUAAGUUUCUCCUCCCCCUCCAAGGGGCCCUUGAACCUUAAGGAUAGGGCAGAAGGGGCUCCUCACCCUGGCCUUGAGGGCUUAGGAUCCAGCUGGGGACUCCUAGCCUCCCUGUGUGCUGGGCACGAAAGUAGCUCCUUGUCACUGCUGUCCCUGGGAAAAGAAAAAAGGUUGAGGAAGGGCUCAGAGCCAGCCUUCAGACCAGGCAGGCCUCCUGGACGUACUUACUAACUCUGGGCUAGCUGUUGUCUGAGCUGGCUGGGAGUUCCCCUCUGCACCCCCGUUUCCUCCCCUGUAAGGUGGGAAUAAUAGUGUAUGCCUCUAGGAUUAAGUGAACCAGUCAUGCAUGGGUCGAGAGCCAGGUUUGGCAUAUUGUAGCUGCUCAGUGGACGUUAGCUGUUAUGAUUGGACCACAAUGUGCUUCCGUUUCAAUUCUAUGGGCAUUUUGGAGGUCCUGCUGGAUGCUAAGCACCGAAACCUCAACCCGGAAAAAGACCAGAACAACCUGAGCAACAACAGGACCAGCGAUGGCUCUCCCUGCUGGAGGAUUCCGGAAGCCACCUGGGUGGACCAAGCCCCCUCCGUGUUCUCUGUCAGCGCACUCCCCAGAGCAGCUAGGCCUGAUGUGCACAAGCAGACUAAUAGAGGCUUGAGGACAAAAA